Rattus norvegicus (Norway rat) is the source of this 9111-nucleotide long non-coding RNA. RefSeq annotates it as cell adhesion molecule 1 like 1. Lineage: Eukaryota; Metazoa; Chordata; Mammalia; Rodentia; Muridae. The record is from RefSeq and is a predicted model, not a curated record.
GAGGACUAGCCCCCCUCCCCCACCCCGCCCCCUGGCGCUAGCGUUCGGCCGCGCGCCCGCGCCACCUAGGGGCGGGGCUGAGGGGAGGGGCCUAUGCAAAUAUGUUUACGUUAAAUUUCAGCCUUGCUUCCCCGAAGGAGGAGAGCCUGUACUGCCCCGCGCCUCGCGUGGUGGUUGGGGAGGGGGUUGCGGCUUCAGGAGGCGGGUCUUUAGCUUUCGUGCACCUUUACCAGGAACCUUUACCCCACUCGCCGUGGCGGACUCGUGCUCUGCGAGUCUCGCCGGGAGGCUCCUGGGCCCGGGCACUGCGUGUGUCUCGGCCUGUGGAAGUCACCUUACAAAAUUUCCUUUCCCUCACCUUGCACGAAGGAGUAAGAUCUUUGGGAAGCGGGGAGUGGAGAGUGCGAAUGCAGGUCCCCGGAUUGACAAAACAAUCGGAGAGAAGUGCAUGCGUGCUUUGCACGUCUGGCGGAGCAGGAGAGCCGGCUCAACAACCUAGCGGCAGACUAGGGGAUAGUUGGGAGACUGAAGCCGUGGAGUCUGGUUCUGGGAUUUUCAAGUGGAUGUUUGGCUGUAGAUUCUGGGGAAAGGUAAAUCGAGAAGACCGUGUGCGCUCUGACCCUCUGUUGCUCAAGCAUCAAAUUGAAGGACGAGCCGUAUUAAGUGUAAAGGUUUAUAAUAAUUUAAGUAUUCAUAGAAUGCAGAACAAUAAGAUGUAGGAAAUACAAUUUGCAUAAUAAAUAUCAAUAUCACAACAGCUAAAACAAACCAUGACAAAUUAUAUGUGGCUAAAUGACCAAGAAAUUACUGCAUGUAAUUUGCUGAAUCUGAACUAUAGUCUAGAAGAGCUGUACCAAGCCCUCUGUCCUCAUGUUGCAAAUAAAUUUUAAAAAAGAAACAAAUAUCAAAAAGGAAGUUAAGAUCGGCCAACCCAUCAAAUGAGUUACACAUUAAAACAGCCUCGUAUUAUCCAUUAUGCAUAAACUAAUUUUCGAAACUGCCCUGUCUUCCACAUCCCUGGAUCUUCUGCUCUGUAAUUACAGGCCCCAAACGCACGAACUGCAGGCAGCCCUCCAGAAGUAGAGAAAGCUCCAGUAGGCAAAUCACAGUAUAUGAGGCAGAAAACCAACACCACCACGUGACCACCAGGAUACUGCCCAGUCGGCAAAAACCAGAAGUGAAACUACCUGGAUCAGACCUGUUACAAAGCAGAUUUCUACCAAAAUCAGAACGAAAAACACAGAGGCUGUCCAUUCUGACAACAGAAUGUACUGCAAAGUCAGAUCCUGUAUGCCGGCCACAACAACACAGACCCCGACACUAGAGAAUAGUCACCACUCUUCAUAGGACUGCUACUCUUGUGACCUUGAGUUCUUAUCAAGAAAUUCUUGUGCAUGAUCUUCUUUAAUCUCUGAAACUACCUUCUAAGUAGAUACUAUUUAUUUUCCCCAUUUUUUUACAACAUGGUUAGACAAAUUAAACACCAGCCUCUAAAAAAAAAAAAAAUCAUGAUUUCUAAAUUGCAGGCAGAGAGGUAGAGCCCUUGAAACUAACCACUCUGCUGCACUGUGCCUCAAUAAAUAUGUGUUAAGUGAGGGAAUAAAUUUCACAUCGUAAUGCAUGGAUAAUAAGCAAAGGAGAGCUGUAUUUUUAACAUAAGGUGAAAAUAUGCCAGCCACCCAGAAACGUUUUUUGAAAAUAACAGGAUUGGAGCAGACUCCUAAGGAAAAGCAUUCCUCAUGAGGCUGAGGCUCCAAGAGAAUCUAGCCAGGCCCGAGUCCUCCCACUCUCAGAACGCAGUAUGGGGACAUUGGAAGAUGUGGAGUGUUUUCAUCUCCCUUCAUUCUCUUGGCACAUCAAAUGAACACCUACUCAAAUUUCCAGUUGGCAAAGAACAACAUGGGACAUUUCUAUAGGAAAUGCCAAUGCUGCGUGGCUUACCUCACUGGAAGAAUGCAAACGCCUUUAAAGAUUUCCUCAGAAAUGCCACCUGCCAUGCAGAAUUUGAGGAAGUUGGCACAUCCACUUUUACCAGGUAUGGAAACUGAGGACUGAUAGUCCUUCCACACCAGGAUCUUUCUGGGAACCAGAGGUGAGGCAAAGCAAGCUGUUGUUCCUCUGUCCCCUAGCCACACUCCCCUUCCACCCCCUCCCCCCAGCUCUUUCACACCUAAGAUGUCGCCAAGCAUUUUAACAUAUGGAACAAGCUAGGAAAGCAUCAAAUUCCCACAGCCGCUAAGUACAAGUUUUGACUGUCCCGGCUUUCUCGUAGUAAAGCGCUUCAUUUUCCUGCUCCACGGACUAGAACUUGUCGCCAGGAACAACUUCCAGCAUUUUUUCCCGUGCUACAUGGAUUGAACCAAUUUUAAAAACCAGAUGGUGUUUUUGCCAUUUAUAACUGAUAAUCAAUUGUUUUGUGAAUUUAAUUUUUUUCAAGAAAGAACCGAAAUACUUAUCAGAAUUACAAUCUGGGCCCAACUUGUGUUAGAAAGAAAUUGCCAAAUUGCACCAAAGCGCUCUCUCUCUCUCUCUCUCUCUCUCUCUCUCUCUCUCUCUCUCUUUGUCUCUUUCCCUCUCUCUCUCCCUCCUUCCCUCCCCCUCCCUCAAUGAGAAACCAGAGAGAAAGAAGAAAGAGAAAGAAAAUUGGUCACCAUCACCAAAACAGUCGAGAAAUGUGGGUAAACAUAUAUAAAAAACAAGCAUUAAAGGAGACUCGUGUUUGUGGAAAUAUAUCAGAGAUAAUUAAUGGCAACUAGUAACAUCUUGCCUCUUAAAAUGCUAAUUAUUUUAAUACCCAUGUAUAAGAGCAACUCAGACAAAUUAUUAAGAAAAAGAAAACGGUAGUUGGAGUCAGCAUUUGCCCGGCUACUGGAUUGUUUAAAUAUUCAUAGAAAAGUGUUUUUUAAUUCAUGUUAGAGACUGAUCCCUAACUCGAACUCUCUCUCUCACACACACACACACACACACACACACACACACACACACGAAUGCACACAUGCGUGCGCACACACAGACAGACAGACAUACACACACACACCAUACAAUGAAACUCAAAGCCCCAGCACAAUACUAUUUGGCGGUGGGCCCUUUGAGAGAUAAUUAAGUUUAGUUCAGAUCAUAAGGUUGAGGCCUCCAUGAUGCUGUUAAAUCCUUCUGAAAAGAAAGAGACAACAGAGUUAGUUCUAGGGGCAUACACAAAGGGAAUGUGACACACUCACGGUGACCUCACAGUGACAGGUUGACUUGGCAAACCAAGAAAAGGGUGCUCACUAGUGAUUGAGACUUUAAACCUCUGGACCAGUGGUUGUGACCCCCUUGCAGGAGGGGAGGUAGUCAAAUGACCCUCUCAUAGGGGUCACCUAAGACCAUUGGAAAACACAGAUAUCUACAUUACAACUCAUAACAGUAACAAAAUUACAGUUAUGAAGUAGCAAUAGAAGAAAUUUUAUGGUUGGUGGUCACUACAGCAUGAGGAACUGUAUUCCAGGGUUGUAGCACUAGGAAGAUUGAGAAUUGAUCUAGAUUUUAAGAAUGGGAGGAAAAUAAUUUUGUGUUGUUUCAAGCUCUAGCGUCUUAAAUUAGGGUUCAUGACCCCCUAUGGAGUCAUGGAGAGGUCAUUUUAAAAACUGACCACAGUGAGUUUUCUUAACAUGCAACAACCAAAAAGCAACUCAAAAUCCAAAAGUGAUGAAUUUGAGAUGUUUCUGACAGCCCCUACUGUUGUUGCUCUGUGUGAUGUCACGGUAACCUUGGCUCAUAACACACAACACACACGCACACCAUGCAAUGUCAGCAAACCCUGCCAGGAACACCUGAGCUCAAGUUCAAAACCACCAUAGGCCACGACUUGCAGUGCAUUGCUUUUUUGCCCUUAGAGAAGCACGAUGGUUUAAGUAUGAGAAACAAAGACGCUUUCUAUUUUCCUACAGUCAUUCCUCAGCAGGUCUCAAAUUAGUGCAUCUUUGGAUUGUUCUGGGUCACGGUGUUUGUCUUUAAGAAAUUACUAGAUGAAUUGAUGACUUAAAAUUUUAUUUUAAAGUCAUUCAGAUAAUUUGGGUUUGGGACAGAAUUUCUAAUAUUUUACAAAGUAGCCCUACACCGGUUUCUGCCAUUUUAUGCGACACAUCUUUGCAAACCAGCAUUCCCGGUUUUGACAACUAUUGGGUGGCACUAUCAGUCAACUCAGGAAAGUACUGAAUUCUGCGUCUUCCAGUAUCAAAUGCCCAGCUAAGGUUCAAGUUUCAUGUAGAGGUGAAGAAGUACAGCCCACCUCAUGCAAGUUAGCAUCCAUCUUUAACAGAUGGUAACACUCUAUGAGCACCAAAGGAUUAUCUCUAAAAUUUUUAUUUAUGCUUUUCAUCGAUAAGCAUUUCAUUCAUUUACAUGUUUUGUAUAUUUUUAUACCAGGGGUUGCAUAGAAAUUUCCUGGGCAAAUAAGAAUUGCAAGGAGAAAACAUUUUAGAAGUCCUGGUCUAAGCCAUCUAGCCUCUAGUAUUUUGUUAUAGCCUCUAGUAUUUUGUCUUAGCAAUGCAGGUCUGCUAGAACAAUCUGGUGCCUUAUUAAAGGUACAUCAAAGUAUCCUUAAUGCCAGCUUCUUAGAGUAAAGUAUUUGACAGAUAAAUGUAAGUUGGCAGCAAAUUGGAUGAGGUACACCCUUGGCCCCAGGGCUUCUGCAGUCUUAGAUUAAGACUAAGCACUAAACAGCUUGUUUUUGUGAGGAUGAGUCUAUGAAUCUUUAUGAAACCCAAAGCCAGUUAAAUCCAUAUUCCUAAAUGAGUAAGUUAAUGCUUUACUCAAAAGUUUAUUCUUCUAGAAUCAGAGUUGACAAUAAUCUCUCGAAUAUCAAGAGUUGAGUACAAACUGGCAAGAAGAAAGCUAGUAAAGAAGUAGGUUUCAGGAAACUACCCAUGAAUGGGUCAAGGAGCAAUCUCUAAUCCCACAGAAGGAAAAUUUACUGCUGCCUUUCAAGUCAUAGUUCGUUCCACUCAACAUUGUGGGCAUACACCCAGGUAUCAAUGUCAGAUCCAAAUACACACCCAACAAAGGAGGAACAUUCGGAGUGUCUCUGUGAAACAGUCAGUUACACCUUGGAAAUAUGUUAAUGAAAAGAUCUAUCUAGUGUCCGGUAACUCACAGCUCAGUAGGGAAAGCAGAUACACAACUAUUUUUUUUAAGAUUUAUUUAUUUAGUGUAUAUGAGCACACUGUUGCUGUCUUCAGGCACACCAGAAGAGGGCACCAGAUCCCAUUUCAGAUGGUUGUGAGCCACCAUGUGGUUGCUGGGAAUUGAACUCAGGACCUCUGGAAGAGCAGUCAGUGCUCUUAACUGCUGAGCCAUCUCCCCAGCCCAAGAUACACAGCUAUUAACAUAUACUUAUUUUAUGAUUUGGACACAGCUACACCAAGACACAAAAGAAAGACCUUUACAUAUUCAGAAUGCCUGCCUAUCAACAAAACAUCCUAGUAAGAGAAGCCUCUUUUGCUGAAUGAAUCUUAAACGUUAUGACCCCACACAAUGGACUAAAAUUGAAAUAUGUUGGGGUAAGGAAGCGAUGAUUAGAGACAAGUGUCCUUUAUAAGUUUCAAAAGCCUUAGAGAAUACGAUAUAUAUUUAGAAAAUUACAAACAGAAUAGCUAUCCCUGGGCAUCUGCACUCUCACACAAAUAGAAUGGUUAGAAUAUAGCUUAACAGAAAACAAGCAUCAGGAAAAGAAACUGGACACACGCAUACACACACAUACACAGUCAUGUGCCAAGCAAUAUCAUAGUUGAUAAGCUAAGAUGUUUUUUAAAAUUUAAGUAAUGGAAAUUCACUCAACUAGUUAAACUGAACUGCCAGAUUUAUAUUUGAGAAAGAUUACACUGGUGGAAUGAAUGCCUUUGAGAGUUGAGCUGUGGUAAGUACUGAUGACAGUUCCUGAAGAUAGGAACUCAGGAAACCCAGGUUUGUUUUAAAGUUUCACUGUUUGGGUGAUGGACACUGGGGAGAAGAUGAUAGUUUUAUUUUUGGACAUGAUGGCUUUGAAAUAGAAAAUAUUCAGCCAAGCAAUAGAACAGUGGAAAUGAUGGUCUAGAACUCAGACCAGCCAUUGUAGUGGACUCAUGGGUAGAGACUGAACCCACAGAACUAGAGGGUAAUGGGAUGGGGAAUUAGUGUGGAUAAGGUAUAUUGGAUGAUGUGCUGGCUACUCUUACAUCAACUUGACACUAAAAUUAUCUGAAAGGACAAUGCCUCCCCGGUAGUAAGGGGAUGAUGUAAUAUAAUGAUUGAUGGAGGAGGGGGCCAGCCCAUUGUGGAUGGUGCCAUCUUUGGGUUCAAUAAAAAAAAGCAGGGGCUGGGGAUUUAGCUCAGUGGUAGAGCGCUUGCCUAGGAAGCGCAAGGCCCUGGGUUCGGUCCCCAGCUCCGGGGGAAAAAAAAAGGCAGGCUGAACAAGCCAUGGGAGCAAACCAGUAUGCAGCGUUUUUCCAUGGCUCUGCAUCACCCUCCUGUCCUUUUUGUGUUCCUUCCUUCAGUGAUAGACUAUGGUCUGGAAGUGUUAGCUAAAUAAAUCCUUUCCUUCCCAGCUUGCUUUUUUGGUCAUGUGUUUCACAGCAAUAGAAACCCUAAGACAGAGGAUUGUUUAAAAAAUAAGUCAAAAGAACUACUAUUGACAGACAUGAAUUAGAUAGACCCUGAGACUGAAGGACAUGGGUUAAGAAAAGAGUGAAAAGCGGUGAAGGCAAAGAAAGAGAGAGACUAGCCAUGCUACUCACUACAACCAGGUCAAAGGUUAUUGGACGUUGGCAUUAGAGAAAAGACCAUUAGGGUGAUGUCCAGCAUGUGGCUAACCUAACAUUCACAUAAGCAGUUUGAGUAGAGUUUGACAUAGCAAGGGAUUCUCUUGUUUGCCGGCAGAGCAGGAAGACAUGACUUGCUGGAGCUUUUCUAAUACAGAGAAAGAGCUUUAGAGUUUCCAAUCUGACAUUCAAUCUCAUUGGCCCUGACAGACAGCCUUGGGUGGAUUAGAGGGAUUGUUGGAGCUGAGGUAACUCAGCUAAUUAUAACAUAUAGACCUUAGUUUUUAUUUCCAAACUUGAAAAAAAAAUAGUUGUGGUCCUGCGAAAGUUUCCUCUCGUACUUUAGAAGUCACAUUUUCCUGAUACAAUAUUGUAAUUGUCUGAUGAAGCACUGUGAUAAUUCCAUACGGCGUAACUUCCCAGGCAAUGAGAUUUCAGCAAGAUCCAUUAUAUCUAUAGAUUUUCAUAAAGCCGCAAUAUAAACCGGCCACACUAUGAAUAUGAGAUGGUACUGCUCAGAGAUGGCGAUGGCAACGCAACUUCUUUGUAAGAUGGGUUGUACGCAGGACACAGCCUGAACAGAAAUUCUGUCUUUUUUUAAAAGAUUUAUUUAUUCAUUAUAUAUGAGUACACUGUAGCUGUCUUCAGACACACCAGCAGAGGGCAUCAGAUCCCACCACAGAUGGCUGUGAGCCACCAUGUGGUUGCUGGGAAUUGAACUCAGGACCUCUGGAAGAGCAGUCAGUGCUCUUAACCUCUGAGCCAUCUCUCCAGCCCCACAGAAAUUCUCUUAGUGAUCCAUCUUGAAGCCUCAAACAGGAAAAGUUCGUAGAAUGUUCUAGAGAGCCUAUACUUUUGCUGCCUUGGGUGGCCUCUUGGGGGGUGGCCCUGCAUUUAUUUGUCCUUAAGUAUCAAAUGGUACUCACCUUUCCCAACUACAUUUUCAGUCGGAUAUUCCACUCCUGUUUUUUCCUUCUCGUGCUCCCUGCCUAAGGGGUCGGAGAUGUGGAUUUUUUGCACCAAAGUGCCCACAUUUGUGGCUUCUUGAGAUUCUGUCUGGUGAAGUGACUGUGUAAAGUGAAAGCCUGGUGUCCUGAGUCUUUGCGGCUAAUGUGCCGAAAGGCACAUCGUGCACACACAUAAAUAAUAAGUAAACACACACCUAAAUACUUAAAAGUAACCAAACCUCUGUCUGGUUUACAACACACAGCAAAAGCUACGUUUCCAAAAGUCUGUGUAUAAUUUUCCCAGUGCGACUCGUGCCUACGUUAGAGUCUUAGUAAAUCCCCUGUUAACUCUUUGAAAACGCAGAGGUUUGUCAAAAGGGUUUUGGAGAUGGAGUAAUCAUCUUACAUGUUUGCAGCAUUAAAUAGUCAUCCCCCAACUCUGCUCUCCUUUAAAAGUCAUUUCUACUCCCCAAGGAUGCCUUCCUCUUAGCCAGUGGGAGCCCCACACGGGACUUUGAAUAUUCUCCCGUACCUGUCCCCAGACCGUGAAGAACUGGAAUGCGGUUUGUUUGAAGUAUCGUGUUUUGAAGAAAAAGCAAGGUUUAAUUUCAGUCCUUUAUGCUCUCUGAUAGCAUUGUCACAUGCUAAGCUAUUUCUCUAAGACUUUUCGUUGCAGUGAUAACAUUUCUCUAUAUAUUUUAUUUAUGUGGCUUGGUCCACGAUGAAUAACACAUUUAUGCAAAAAUCUCAAUAUAUCUAGGAGAUGCCAAUACACAGAAGGGGCAAACUUCUCCUACAGUGUAGUUAAUAAAAUGCAGUAAAUCGCAUAUAGUUUCAGAGGCAAUUAGUACAGUUCGUGACUUCAAUUACAAAAAAAAAAAAAAAAAUAAGAGCCCUUAUGAUUUCUAGUAAUUGUUAUUUAUCUUUCAUCUGAAGUGUUCCUCUUGUCUGCAUCAGCUUUGGCCUGGAAAUAGCAUCGACAGUGGGGAAAGUACACAGUCUCCGCUCGCAGCACUAGAAGGAGAGAGAGAUGAGGAUCGGGACCUCAGAGCUAACUGUUCUUCCUGGAGAGGUCUGGCUAUGGGAGUCACCACCAAAGUACAGGCUAAUAUCCCUUGCCUCCUAUUUUCCUGGGGACAUCAGAACUCGGCACCAGAGUGAAAACUCCUUCCUGGUUACUGCUGUCCGCAGGCAGAUACUAAUACAGUGUGCACUGCUAGUUAACAUUUUGGUGACUGUCUGUGACAUCUGAAAACACCGGAUGGAUGUAUUUGUCUCCUUCAUUCUUCUUGGUACCUCCUCUUUUCUGAAUUUUUUCCCAAUUUCAGACACUGGCUUCUUCACCUAUUACUCUUCAUUUUCUAUUAAAAGAACAAAUGCCUACAAAA